GGGAAACUGCCUGAUGGAGGGGGAUAACUACUGGAAACGGUAGCUAAUACCGCAUAACGUCGCAAGACCAAAGAGGGGGACCUUCGGGCCUCUUGCCAUCGGAUGUGCCCAGAUGGGAUUAGCUAGUAGGUGGGGUAACGGCUCACCUAGGCGACGAUCCCUAGCUGGUCUGAGAGGAUGACCAGCCACACUGGAACUGAGACACGGUCCAGACUCCUACGGGAGGCAGCAGUGGGGAAUAUUGCACAAUGGGCGCAAGCCUGAUGCAGCCAUGC
RNAcentral lists this ribosomal RNA (275 nucleotides) under Escherichia coli. RNAcentral describes it as "partial 16S ribosomal RNA". It matches the Rfam family "Bacterial small subunit ribosomal RNA", at positions 120 to 397 of the family's 1533-position model. Lineage: Bacteria; Pseudomonadati; Pseudomonadota; Gammaproteobacteria; Enterobacterales; Enterobacteriaceae. The record is from RNAcentral.